Long non-coding RNA from Pezoporus flaviventris, 852 nucleotides. RefSeq lists it as uncharacterized. Lineage: Eukaryota; Metazoa; Chordata; Aves; Psittaciformes; Psittacidae. The record is from RefSeq and is a predicted model, not a curated record. The transcript is spliced from 2 exons.
AUGAGGGAGGGAAUUUGCUGCCCACUGUGAGCUUAAACCUGCAGCUUGUCCUUCUGGCUGCGUUUGGACAAAUUCAGACAAAAAGUUUAUGUCAGGAGAAGAUGGAUCAGAAAAGAGCAAUGGGAUUUUACCCAGGCUGUGGCUUUCAAAAUCAGAGUCCUUCUUGUUUGUUGGUGGGAAUGCUUAGCAGCCUGCUACGAUAUGGCCACAGAGCUGUGCAAGGGGUGAGAUAUCUAAGAGGUCAGCAAAUCUGGUCAAGUAAUGGAAGUUACCGUCUGCCUAGCAAAAGCUCAUCCCUGGCCAUGGGACUUCAGACCAUUCCUCUGUUUUGAGCAAGGUUUUCACUUAGGCAAGACGAUAAAUUGCUGUGCCCUGGUGGAGAUUAAAAGCAGGUAAACAGACAGCAUGGCCUUAACCUAUUUCUCACACAUUUCACACAGGUGAACUCAACUCAGUUUCCAAAGUUUACCUACCUGUCAAUGAUAAGCUUACAUGAGUUUCCUGUUUUAACCACCAGCCUCUGGAUACCUUGUGUUACAGCAUUAUGCUUCUCUACUCCAGAUUGAUGAGUCCAUUCCAUGAGCAUGCUUCUGACCAAAGCUGGACCAGCUGAGGAAGAACAGGCCUAGCACAGCAGCUCAAUCUUAUUGCCCAACCUUUUAGGACGACUGAAUGACAUGAACACAUUCAUUUGUACAUCAGAAGAUGGUGGCACAUACUUCUAACUUGUGUUAAUGUGACUAGGACUAAAAUAAGCAAGGCCACUUCUACGGAGAAAUAUGUUGGCAACUGACAAGAUAUUAUUACAUUUAGUUUUCAUAAUGAAAGCAGCCCACUUUGUUAAGUCUCCAG